Ictidomys tridecemlineatus (thirteen-lined ground squirrel) is the source of this 70-nucleotide non-coding RNA. Lineage: Eukaryota; Metazoa; Chordata; Mammalia; Rodentia; Sciuridae. The record is from Rfam.
GUUUGUAGUUCAGUGGUAGAGCACAUGCCUAGCAUGCACGAGACCCUGGGUUCAAUCCCCAGCAACAACA